AUCAAGCAACCAAAAGAGAAGGCCACAAGUUCCAAGACGUAAUAGUAGGCUACACCAAUAAUAUGAAGUCUACAAAGGCUAGAGCAUAGGUUUGGUGGCACAAAUGAUAGCUAUACAAUGUGCUCUCGUGAAUUCUUGAAGAGUGAAGAAUCUAUAAAGGCUCUCACGAAUGCAUGUCACCUGUCUCUCAGCUUGCCAAUAAUUUGUGUAAAUACUGUGACACGUAAUGUCAUGCAUAGAAGCGCCACGUUGUGGCCAUGAAGAAGCAGCGAGAAGAGCCACGAUGGUAGUACAGAAGGCACUCUCCAUCUAUAAAAGGGGAGCCAUGCCUCACAAGAAGAAAACCAAGCAAUCAGCAAGCACAAGCAUACCACCAGCCAUAAGAGCAGAGAGUUAGCCAGACUCCUUGGUCAGUAGUACUAGUAGUCCAACCACCAUCUUUGUAAUUAAUCCAUUAGUUUGAAGGCGCUUGUAAUAAGAAGAUAGUAAGAAUUUUUUCAGGAUCUUGGGCUGGCGAGGCUAAUAGUACGUCCGACAGUGUGCGCAGUGGUGUAUUAACCCUACUCGGUACUAACCGUACUUAUCACUAUAUUGCUUUAAAAGUAGCUAAGUUUCAUUCCCUAGAUAUUUUUAGACAAAUUUAUAUGGGUUGAUUUUUUAUCAUCAUCCCAGGCAGUUUCACCCGAAGGGAAUACUUCUCUACGGAUUCGGUUCUCGUUCUAAUCGCCACACACAAUGCUUAACAGAGAACUGCACGUAGAGGUUUCUCCAAUAGGAUCCCUAGAAUAAAAAUCCAUCCCAUAUAAACAUGAUAAAAAUAUCAAGAAAAACACAUAACUACUUUAUUUCCACAAUAUAAUUUACAUACGGGUUUCCCUUUCGGGAACCCCUACGAGAUUACACAAGAACGGGAAAUUACCUUACUACCUUCUUAUUACAAGCGCCUUCAAUCUAAUGAAUUUAUUACAAGGAUGAUGGUUGGACUACUGCUACUACUGAGCAAGGAGCCUGGUUAACUCUCUGCUCUUAUGGCUUGCAGUAUGCUUGUGCUUGCCGAUUGCUUGGUGUUCUUCUUAUGGGGCAUAGCUCCCCUUUUAUAGAGGGAGAUGGACUUUUGUACUGCCAUCGUGGCUCUUCUCGCUGCUUCUUCAUGGACCAAACGUGGCGCUUCUGUGCAUGACAUUACGUGGCAUAAUAUUUGCACAAAUUAUUGGCAAGCUGAGAGACAGCCCAAAGGAAUCGAGAGAUUCUUUGCAUGAAGACGAGAAGAAAUCAAUCAACCAAAAAAGAAGGCCACAAGUUCCAAGACGUAAUAGUAGGCUAAUAUGAAGUCUACAAAGGCUAGAGCAUAGGUUUUGUGGCACAUAUGACAGCCAUACAAUGUGCUCUCGUGAAUUCUUGAAGAGUGAAGAAUCUAUAAAGGCUGUCACAAAUGCAUGUCACCUGUCUCUCAGCUUGCCAAUAAUUUCUGUAAAUAUUGUGGCACGUAAUGUCAUGCACAUAAGCGCCACGUGGUGUCCAUGAAGAAGAAGCGAGAAGAGCCACAAUGGCAGUAAAGCCCUCUCCUUCUAUAAAAGGGGAGCCAUGCCUCACAAGAAGAAAACCAAGCAAUCGACAAGCACAAGCAUACCACCAGCCAUAAGAGCAGAGAGUUAGCCAUGCUCCUUGCUCAGUAGUAGUAGUCCAACCACCAUCUUUGUUAUAAAUCCAUUAGUUUGAAGGCGCUUGUAAUAACAAAGUAGUAAGGUAAAUUCCCAUUCUUCUGUAAGCUCGUUGGGGUUCCGGAAAGGGAAACUCAUAUGUAAAUUAUAUUGUGGAAAUGAAGUAGUUAUGUGUUUCCCUUGAUCUUUUUAUCAUGUUUAUAUGGGAUGGGUUUUUAUGCUAGGUAUCCUAUAGGAGAAACAUCUACGUGUAGUUCUCUGUUAAGCCUUGUGUGUGGUGAUUAGAACGAGAACCGGAGCCGUAGAGAAGUAUUUCCUUCGGGUGGAACUGCCUGGGAAGACGAUAAAAAUCAACUCAUAUAAAUUUGACUAAAAACAUCGAGGA
Lolium perenne is the source of this 2046-nucleotide RNA transcript. RefSeq lists it as uncharacterized. NCBI's taxonomy places the organism in Eukaryota, Viridiplantae, Streptophyta, Magnoliopsida, Poales, Poaceae. The record is from RefSeq and is a predicted model, not a curated record.